Alligator mississippiensis (American alligator) is the source of this 6222-nucleotide long non-coding RNA. RefSeq lists it as uncharacterized. The transcript has 3 exons. The record is from RefSeq and is a predicted model, not a curated record. NCBI's taxonomy places the organism in Eukaryota, Metazoa, Chordata, Crocodylia, Alligatoridae.
CAGCUAGUCUGUUACCCUUUUUGUGGGAGGGGGUUUAAAAUUUUUGGCAGAAAGGAAGGGAAGUAAUAAAAACCAACUUCUUAAUAUUUUGUUCACCAGUGGAGGUGAGGUGCUAUUUUAGGGGAACAGGAACUAAUGGGGUGGCCAACACUGAAGGGUUGGACAGAGGCUUAAAAAUAAAACAAGGGCUAAGAGGCUGUGUUAGUUCUUCUACUUUACCUACCUGCUUUCUGAGUCACCCCAUGCUAGCAAGUUGAGGCUUUCCCACUCUCACCUAACAACCCUCUUUUUCCCAGUAAAGCAAGAACAGCUUUCAUUUCACUCCAAUAAGCCCUUUUUCCAUCUCCCUCCUAUUUAAAAAUCCCCCCUCCCCCUUGUAGCUCCUAAAGCUGCCUCUGGUCCCUACCAGCAUUAAACUAUAAGUUGUAGGCUUGCAGAGAAUAAAUUUCUUCCCUUCUGACACCUGCUGCUAGUGCUUGGAGAAAGCUUAAGCAGAAGCUGAGGGUAAAAAGUGAAUUGGCACCAAACUUGGCACCUUGGCAUAUAUACCCACUUCACAUGGGCUUAUACACAUGAUCUCACUAACCAAGUGUACAAGCUUCAGGUAGUCUGCUACAAAGAAAGAUGAAGCAUUCAGCCAAAUCCUGUAUGUUCUGCCAUAAAGACCAUCUCCUGCUUCCCUGGUAAUCUGGUCUCAAUGCAAGGACCCCAUGUGAUGUCCAGGAAUUUGGGGCCACAUAUUUAUAACUGUAACUCGAUCUCUGACAAGCUAUAACAAUGCCUUCAUUAUCCUCAAUGAAUAUUAUAUAUGAUACUGUUACCUUGUUCUGUUGUACCUUGUUGCCUGCCUGAAGGCAUUAAGUCAAAGGAAGCUGCAAAAAGGAAUGUUGCUUUACCACAUACAAAAUGGUGAAUCAUCAUGACAAAAAGACCCUCAAGUAUAUAGCUUCAACUUAAUGUUGAAGACUAUACCUUGCUCAAGCCAUCAGUGCUGGAAUGCAUCACCAGGGAAAUGAAACCAUAUGUAGUCCCUCUACAAGAAACACGUAUACAGCAGCUGCAGAAAAUGAAGCUCACAGGCUACGACUUUUCAAACUCAGUAGCCAGUAGGAUGCAUGGGCUUGCUAAGUUAAUCAGAAAUGAUUUGCUAUAUACUGCCAAGGGACAUAAUACUUCCCAGAGUGCAAUAGAAUGGAGCAUUGUCUGGGUCAAUAACAUAAUCAGCCAUAUAUGCAAGCCAGCCUCUGCUGUGUUGUUGAUCACAUCCCUCCCUAGUUAUGACCAGACAUCCUUAUGUGCAGGUGACUUCAGCUGUCAACAUUGAGAUUGGAGAUAUUCCUCUAAGAGUAGCAAUGGAGAUGAUCUUUGUCUUUGGGCAAGCCGGAAUGAUAUAACACUCAAUGGUAUGACCCAACGGUGCAUUUGAACAUUGGAACAUUCUACCAAAUCUAGAUCUUGCCUGGUGGAAGGGAAACUUGAAUAAAACACUGAUAAGAAAUGUACUUGACAAGUUUCUGUCAUCUCAGCACAGACUCUAACUCAUCAGCAUACUAUGAUUUUUUCAGCCCACACCAUCCAGACCAGCUCUAAGAUGGAACUUCCAGAAGGCAGACUGGCAGAAAUACCAAAGGCUAACCAACAAGACAACAAACCAAUUAAAGGAUCCUUCAGAAAUCAACACUGAUUAAGUCUACAGUACAUUUACAAACUGCCUAAUUGAACUAGCCAUACUCUGUUUAUCUAGAAGCUAUAGAAACCAUUAUGUGCCGUGCUGGGACAAGCAGUCUAAACAGCUCUUUAACAUCACCAAGCAACGCAAUGACCCAGUAACUAUAAAAAAGAACUAUAAAACAGCUGGCUACCACAUAAAACAAUAUAAAAAAAGGAGACGCAACUUACCACCAUAGAAGGAUUGGCUAUGACUCACUCAAGCAGACAAGCUGGUGCAUCAUUAACUGCCUUACAGGCAGAGACCAAGAAAACAUUUCCCUGUCUCGGCAAACUUCAUCAUGAACAUACUGUGCAACAACAGCGAACACAGUAACCCAAGUAAGCAACACACAAAAAUGACACCUGACUUUUUAACAACUUUAAUCACCCAACGUCAACCUUAAUUUAACCGCCCCCAUCUCUGACAAUGAGUUUGACAUGGCUAUUAAAGUGAUCUAGAGUGGCAAGGUUGCUUGAUCAGAUAAGAUUUUCCCAGAAUUCAUUACUAAGUUCAGAAGCACAAUGAAAAAAUGGCUUCAGAAAAUGCAUGUAUAAAUGCCUAGAAAAUAACAGGCGUCCAAAAAUCUGGAGAAAAACUGACAUCAUUGCUAUCCUAAAACCCAACAAACUACUAAAGGAUCCAAAGAGCUACCAAGCCACCUCACUACUCUGCAUUGCAUACAGACUCAUGGAGCUCAUAAUCCUGAAUAGAACAGAGAACACUGUUGACCCCCAGCUCCCAAAAGAACAAGCCAACCAAGUUAUAUUACAUACAUUUGACAGAAAAUGGAUUUGAAAUGAGGCAGAAAACAGGCGUAGUCUUUAUUAAACUUACAGCUGGCUAUGACACUGUAUGGCACCAAGGCCUCAAAUUAUAAACUGCGCUGUAUGAUACCUGACCACAAGCUAUGCACUUUCAUCAUGAACAUGAUCUCAAGCAGAACAUUCAAACUCACAACCAGCCAAGGAUAAAAAAGCAGAGUAUGAACUCUGAAGAAUGGAGUUCCCCAUGGGUCAGUGCUAGCACCAAUACUUCCAAUGUAUGUAUCUCAGACUUCCCACAUACAAUAUCUAAGCAAUAUAUGUACACUGGUUACGUCACCAUAGUAGCCCAAGGAACAGAUAUGACAACUUGAAAAUAUGUUGAGUACUGACAAGGAACUCGUUGCUGACUAUGUCCAGAAGUGGCGGUUAAAGUUGAGCAUCAAUAAAUCAGCACCAUUACUCUUCCACCUGGACAAUCGUUGAGCUGAAUAUCAGGGUAGCCAACUGCAUCCUUCUCUAUGAGUAUACCCCAACCCACCUAGGAGUUGCAUUAGACUAUUCCCACACCUAUAAAUAUCACAUUCAGAAGGUUAACAGUAGUCUCUGCACAGGUAGCUUCCUUAGAUUUUUAGUCAGCAUGACAUGGGGUACCAACUUCAAAGUGCACUUGCAAUGGUAUAUGCCCCAGCAGAUUACUAUGCUUCUGUAUGGACCAUAAGUUGUCACACUAAAAAGUUUGACACUGUGCUUUACAGUGCUCUGAGAUUUAUAACAGGCUGCACAACUUACGCACACACAUAGUUGUAGUCCCUGUACUCGGGCAUUAGACCAAAUGAUGUAAGAUAGGCCCUAACGUUAUUACUGGCUAUAGGGGCAGGAGAUGAAAUAACCUGCUCCAUUAACUGUUAACUAAAGACCUGAACAGAUGAAGGCUUAAGAAGCUGAAAGGUCAUAAACCAUUUGUACAUGAAGCACACAAGCUCCUGGAAGAAGCUGGGGAUGCUGAACCAAACCUAUGGGCAUCAGUGGAGUGGGUCAACCCCUGGGAAAGUUCAGAUCUAUUCCUACAGCAUUUCAUACCAACACCAAACAAGUACCCCACUGGACAUGACCUUGACAGAGAACAGCAGGUCAAGCUGAACAAACUGAGAUCUGGAUAUGGAUGCUUCAAAACAACACUUCGCAAGAUGACCACCUUAGACAGCCCCUUGUGUGAAUGCAGUGUCCAACAAAUAGCACAGCACUUAACUGAAAGCUGCAACCUAUGCCCAGACGGAGCAGGUAGAAUAUGCACCAUGGGUGAUAAUACCAGACAGUGGCUCAUAGAUUUGGAAGUUGAUAUAUUCCAUAAAAAAGAGAGUGUAACAGUAGCUGGGGUUUCAUACAAGCUAAACUGUGUGUAUUGGGUGACUGAGAGAUGGUAACAUGCUGGGAAAUAAUAUGGUAUAAAGUAAUUUAGGAUGCCUAUACAUGAGCACAAUGUGCUGUAAUUACAAUGUGUCAGAGUAGAGUCAAUCAAGUCUGUGUAUCAGCAGCCUCGCAUUUCAAAAUGGUGGAGAUGUUAGCACCACUGUCUCCCAGAUAGUGCUAAGGGAUCAUUAAAGUACAAUUAACCCUUAAAUAGAACUUAAAAUAUGAAUGCAGACAACUCAGUGUCCUAAAAUCGAAGUCUAACUGUAUUGGUACAAGUACUGUCUUAGCAGUUUCUAUAUUCAGAGAGAGAAAAACAUUCAGUACAAUAAUCUCACCCAAUCCAAGAUGUUACUUUGCUCAACAGAAAAGAUGGCCACUCAGUUCCUGAAAGCAAAGGGUACAUUGUGGGCUGAGGCAGUCCAGAAAGGUGUUGAAGACUGGAUUUAUCACAAUGAUGAACGUUCUUGCUGCCCCCUUUUAUGCUUUUCUUCAACUUCACUCCUUUGCUGACUCCUAGCUUUUGGAUUGAUCUCUCUACAGUCAGUAUACUGUUCAUCUUUUAUCCUGUCAGCAUAUUCCUUUGUCUAACAGAUCCAUCACAAGCACACCUCUUAAUUUGGCCUUUUUCUGGUGUCUUACUUUGGGCAUAGUCCAUUGGUCUCCCUUAUCACCUUUCAUUAAUAUAUCCAAUCCUUUCAUCCCUCUGAUUCAGCUGGUUAGUGCCAAAUUCAGUUAAUUGGAGCUGGUAACAAGGCCAUUGCUAUGUUAUGUUAAAAGAACUUCUCACAGUGAUAAAAAUAAAGAUAUCAUAUAAUGAGCACCUAUGAGCUCUACAAAAACAACCCUCAGCUGGCUAAUAAAAAAAAAAAGUUAAUAAGAGCAAAACUUAAGCAAUGAUUAAAUAAGGCUAAACAUAAACAAUACUAUAAGCAGAUGCAACUUCAAAGCAUUAAACGUAACAAGCUACCCUAACAGAGGGGGCGCUUUAUCUAAUGGUUAUUCAACAAACUUUAUCUAAAGUGUCCCCAUCACCAUUUUGAAGUGUGGGGACACUGAUAUACAAGACUUUCCAGGUGCGUUAAUUAGAGCAGCUCUUGGAGCCACUCUAAUUAAAGUGCCACCCCCGGAGCAUGCAUUAAAAUGCUAUAGAUGGUAAAAAGUGUCCUUCAGAUGUGUGAGGUAUCCAGAUUCUAUAGGAGAUGUGUACUAAAUUUCAGAGAGAAGGGGACACCAAUCUCAGCUAACUUUAAAACAAAAAAUACCUUUGGACUGAGAAAUAUAGAAAGCUUACAGAGAUCACUGCCUUCAUGGUAACGAAGCAACAGGCUACUUGGACUAUGAAAAAAAAAGAAGUUAGCCAGGUAUCAUACAGAUUUUUUUUGGCCAGUCAUGGCUGCAGAUGUUAAAAACCAGGUAUCUAACAGUUCAGAAAGGAACCUUCCAGCAAGAAGAGGCAACUGUUUUGUGGAGAAAUGCUUACAUUUGCUAUGUGUUCAGCUAGAUUGACUUGACUGGCCGGCCAAUGGCCAGAAACAUCAGCUGGAAAUCAGUAUUAGCAAAUAAAAUAUUGCUUUCUCUCAAAGAAUGUGUUGGUACCACCACAGUUGUUCUAUCAAUACAUUUGUAAUGGUAUGGUCCAUGUACUACUGAAGUUCAUCUGCAUCUGAAGUGAUUAGGGAACGGAAUUUGAAUCAUGCCUUUUAUGAAAAAUUUGCUGAAAACUCCAUAUAAUCUAGACAAGCACUGAUGUUGCUCAUUCUGGAAGCAUUGCAUGGGGAGAAGGGGAGGAUAUAUCCAUUUAAGAGAGAAAAUGAUAGCAGUCUCCAAAUACUUGAAGGGAUGCUACUAGGAAUAGGGUUGGCAGUUGUCUUAUGUAGAGUUUAGGUCAUGAUUUGCAUGGGAUGUUUUUGCUAAGAAGGAUCCAGCUUCAGGCAGGGGGUUGGACUAAACGACCUCUGGAUUUCCCUUCCAGCCCUAUUUCUUUUAUGAUCUAUUACUCGGUGUGCCCGUCUCUGUUCCAGGAGGUGCUCCCGGGCAACUCUUGCGCGGGCGGCUGACCGGGCCUGCCCUGCUCUCGCUGGGGAGUCCCUGGAACUCGCCAGCCGCGGUCAUGGCUGGGCCUGCCGCCGGGGUGUCCCCCUCGCUGCGGCCUCCAGCACCGAAGCGCCCCUGGGCAGGCUCACACAGGGCUCCGACCUCCCCUACACCCCGGCCAAUGCCACCUUGGGUCGUGGACCUUCCGUCCCUUGUCCCCGAGCGAAGACUGAGAGUCGAGGACCCUCUCCACCCUUUGCAGCUCUCUUCCCCAACACCCCGCCGGGACCUCUGCCCGGU